RNAcentral lists this ribosomal RNA (232 nucleotides) under uncultured bacterium. RNAcentral describes it as "partial 16S ribosomal RNA". It matches the Rfam family "Bacterial small subunit ribosomal RNA", at positions 99 to 334 of the family's 1533-position model. The record is from RNAcentral.
CGGACGGGUGAGUAAUGUCUGGGAAAUUGCCUGAUGGAGGGGGAUAACUACUGGAAACGGUAGCUAAUACCGCAUAACGUCGCAAGACCAAAGAGGGGGACCUUCGGGCCUCUUGCCAUCGGAUGUGCCCAGAUGGGAUUAGCUAGUAGGUGGGGUAACGGCUCACCUAGGCGACGAUCCCUAGCUGGUCUGAGAGGAUGACCAGCCACACUGGAACUGAGACACGGUCCAG